RNAcentral lists this ribosomal RNA (273 nucleotides) under uncultured bacterium. RNAcentral's name for it is "partial 16S ribosomal RNA". It matches the Rfam family "Bacterial small subunit ribosomal RNA", at positions 524 to 796 of the family's 1533-position model. The record is from RNAcentral.
UACGUAGGUGGCAAGCGUUGUCCGGAUUUACUGGGCGUAAAGGGCGUGCAGGCGGUUUGUUAAGUCUAGGGUGAAAGCUCCCGGCUCAACUGGGAGAGGUCCUUGGAUACUGGCAGACUUGAGGAGGGUAGAGGAGAGUGGAAUUCCCGGUGUAGUGGUGAUAUGCGUAGAUAUCGGGAGGAACACCAGUGGCGAAGGCGGCUCUCUGGGCCCUACCUGACGCUGAGACGCGAAAGCGUGGGGAGCGAACCGGAUUAGAAACCCCCGUAGUCC